GGCUCAGAACGAACGCUGGCGGCAUGCCUAACACAUGCAAGUCGAACGAGACCUUCGGGUCUAGUGGCGCACGGGUGCGUAACGCGUGGGAACCUGCCUUUAGGUUCGGAAUAACAGUGAGAAAUUACUGCUAAUACCGGAUAAUGUCUUCGGACCAAAGAUUUAUCGCCUUUAGAUGGGCCCGCGUUGGAUUAGCUAGUUGGUGGGGUAAAGGCCUACCAAGGCGACGAUCCAUAGCUGGUCUGAGAGGAUGAUCAGCCACACUGGGACUGAGACACGGCCCAGACUCCUACGGGAGGCAGCAGUGGGGAAUAUUGGACAAUGGGCGAAAGCCUGAUCCAGCAAUGCCGCGUGAGUGAUGAAGGCCUUAGGGUUGUAAAGCUCUUUUACUGGGGAUGAUAAUGACAGUA
This 410-nucleotide ribosomal RNA is filed under the name Porphyrobacter sp. R-38345. RNAcentral describes it as "bacterial SSU rRNA". It matches the Rfam family "Bacterial small subunit ribosomal RNA", at positions 21 to 459 of the family's 1533-position model. Lineage: Bacteria; Pseudomonadati; Pseudomonadota; Alphaproteobacteria; Sphingomonadales; Erythrobacteraceae. The record is from RNAcentral.